Corvus hawaiiensis (hawaiian crow) is the source of this 3169-nucleotide long non-coding RNA. RefSeq lists it as uncharacterized. Lineage: Eukaryota; Metazoa; Chordata; Aves; Passeriformes; Corvidae. The record is from RefSeq and is a predicted model, not a curated record. The transcript has 2 exons.
CCGAGAUGCCGCCGCCCCGCCGCGGGGUCCGGCAGCGCCCGGAGCGGGGUCCCGCAGCGCCGGGGAGAAAGAUGUUGUUUAUAUUCCCUGUAAAGGAAAGUUCUGCUCAAAUGAAGUGGAUUCUUGCUGUACAUCAUCAUGGUUUCAUGAAGAAGAGUAAAAGGAACAGUCAAGAAUGACACCUGCAUGUGGAAUUACUAAACAAGUUAAAUCCCAGUGACUGUCGCUUUGUAAAAACUCUGCUGGCACCAGCAAACUGCAACUUCCUCUUUCAAAAAAACCCCCACCAUUCAGGUGUCAGAGAAAUAGCUAGCACAAAAUGCUCAGUUUAACAGCUAAUGAAUGUUUUACAGCUGCUCUCACAUCUGAAUUCUAUGAUUUUUUUUAAAAAACCCAGACAGUUAGCAGAUUAUUGGAAAUGGUUAAUUCACCAUCCCUGGAGGAAUUUAAAAGACAUAUUGAUGUGGCUCUUAGGAACAUGGUCUAGUUAAGGAGCUGGCAUAGUUGGAUGAUCUUAAAGGUGUUUUCCAACUUAAACCAUUCUAUUAUUCUGUGAUUCUGUGACUGGACUGUAUGCAAUCUAAACAUUGGCUACAAGGCUGAGUAUGGGCCUGCUGGUCAGACAAUGGCUCCUGAAGGCCACUGGAUAUUGCUUUAACUGCAAAUUCUGUCCUUUUCAGUCAACAGAGAGCGCACAAGUCACUGUGAUUUUGCAGUUGGUGUAAGUGAUCAGGAGUGUCAAGAGGAUACCCAUGCUUGAUCUGUCCUAGGGAAUGCAGUUCUACAAGACUCCCUUCUACAUCCUCACAACACAGGCUGCUCAGCCUUGCCGAGAAAAGAAAGCCAGUAGGUAGAAGCUGGAGUGGCACCAUCCUUGGCAAAGUAGGAGAGCCAGAGUGAGAUGGGCAAUCUCACAGUGAUGAAAACUGCAGAUUAAAAAGUAGCAGUCAAAAGUAGUCUUUCCACGUGCAUGUGUGUAAGGGAGUUUCUUGGCAUAAAUCCAAGCUACAGCACCGUGCUUCGCUAGCAAGAGACUGGAGCCACCGCAAGAAAAGACCUCACAUGACAAAGCUGAGCCCUUCUGUGCUCCCCAGAUGCUCUGCUAGAGAUGAGCAUUUAUGAAAUGAACUCAGGGAGAAGAAGAAAGAAACAUUAAUAUUCCAUAUGUUGGUUUUUGGGGAUCGAUAUUCAAGGAGGUUUUUGUUCCUGGACAAACCCACAGAAUUACUGUAAGAUUUAGGCAUUUUGCUGAAUAUUUCAACUACUCAGGUGAGAAUAAAAAUAAAUUCUUCAAUUAAAGCUGUACUGUGAGUGUCUAGUUACUGAAGGUUAGUCAUAUCUAGAUGAAAAAACAGCCUUUGCUGUUCUACAUGAAGACAGGAGUUUAAACAAGUACAGGCACCUGGUGUGACUCUUGAGAUGUGACCUCCUGUACAGGACUCCAUGAUCCUUGUGGGUCCCUUCCAACUCAGUAUAUUCUGUGAUUCUGUGAAAUAUAGAAUAGGGACUACUUGCAAAAGUAUAGUUAAAAUAUUAAUUCAAACGCAAGUAUAUUUUCAUUUAAGAAGGGAUUUACAGUACACUGAAACAAGAUGUACUGGAGCAGGUAGUUAUACAAUGAUUGCCAGUGUAACUAGCUUGUAAAUUGCAAAGUUUUCCCAUGAAGACAAAAUUUCAGGAAAAUCCAGUUGGGCUCAGGAUGGAGUAGAAGGACAUCAGAUAUUUUGAACUGGAGAGGUUUAUCCUCUACUCUGCAGAAAGCUAAAGUUAGGAUUUGGUUUAGGGCCAGGGAAAUCAAAGACCUCAGAGCUGAAAUGUGAGCAACAUCUUGUUCAGCCCAAAGACCUGGGAUGGCAGUGGGGCUCAGGACAAAGCUGUAGGUCAGUGUACAUCGUGAACAGGUGUUAUCUCCUGCAAGGACAGCUAGUUGUAAAGUUAGGGUCUGUGUUAGUUAUCUGAGGACCCCAUUGGAGCAAAGUCCAAUUGGCCAAAGUAAACUGUUCUUUCCAAUAUAGGCUAUCUGUAUUCUGCUGCAAAUUUUAGUUCUGAAAAUAGAAGAGCAUUUUUUUGUUCAAAAAAAUGUUCAAGUGACAUUAUCCUCUUUGGACAUUAUGGAAUGAAUCAGGUAUAAGAAAAAAUUGUAAGCAAAAAUUUUUAAUAACCCAGAAAUAACAAAACACCAUGGACAGUAAUUUGUACCAGAUGCUACAGUAUAGGUGUAAAAGUAAAUAUAAUUAGGCCUAGUAAGAGGCAAAAUAACAUCACUAAUUGCUUUAAAAUAAGUAAUUCUUACUUAUUGUUUUGAAAAAAAGCCACUGACUAUUGAAGAAAACCUUUUCUAUGGAUGGUGUCCCUUUUUUUUAUUGGUUCUGUGCGUGUAACAAUCUAUUUUUAAGAUUUCUUUAAGAUAUCAGCUGCAGAAGAAGCAGGGGAAUGACCAGCUGUUCAAAAGCUAUUUCAUGAUCCAGAGGACUGUGUAAUGAAAAAAAUUAGGGUUGCCAUGGUAAAAUAUUAUUUGUGUACAAAUAAAUGCCCUGCAGACAGUUUCUCCCUCAGAUGACAUUAUUUUUGCAGAACUUUGUAGAAAACAGACGACAAAGCCAAAUAUGACGAUAUGUGCAGAGAUGGAAAAUGGGGGGGAAAAAAGGAAGUGAGACAAGAAAAGGAAAAUUUAUUCAGUUCUGUUGAAAAUCAUUAGUGCCUGUUUUUUAGAAUUGAGUGCAGUGGACCUGCAUGUGCCUUAUCUUGCUGUAAAGUAGUAUUCCAGGGGCUUCUUCAGACUGAAAUAGGGUAAUGAACACCCCUGGAAGGGGCAAAAUUUCGGCCCAAAAAAGUAGCAAAAUCCUGCAGAGAAGGGUUACCCUCUUUAAGAGAGACCUCCUGUCGCAGGACUAGUUCAGCUGUGUCAGGACCUUUUCUGUCUCCUGAGUCAGCAAAGAACCAGCAGACACCAUGUCUGCAUUGUAUCCUUGGGGUUUAGAGUCCUACAGCUGGAAGUCACUGCACUCACCUAGCUGCUGGGCUGGGAUUUUGUGUGGCUUGAAGUCACGCGGUAAUCCACCUCUUAGCCGGGUAUCUCCUCCUGCCUGUGUCAGAUCUUUCUCUCUGGAACCAUCUCUUCUGUCAAAACAUGCUGAAUAGAGGAAGGACAUGUACAUAUGUGCAUAAA